Molecule: ribosomal RNA, 415 nt
Filed under: uncultured soil bacterium
Lineage: Bacteria
Description: bacterial SSU rRNA
Rfam family: Bacterial small subunit ribosomal RNA
Source: RNAcentral
UAACGGCUCACCAAGGCGACGAUCAGUAGCUGGUCUGAGAGGAUGAUCAGCCACAUUGCGACUGAGACACGGCCCAAACUCCUACGGGAGGCAGCAGUGGGGAAUAUUGGACAAUGGGCGCAAGCCUGAUCCAGCAAUGCCGCGUGUGUGAAGAAGGUCUUCGGAUUGUAAAGCACUUUCGACGGCGACGAUGAUGACGGUACCCGUAGAAGAAGCCCCGGCUAACUUCGUGCCAGCAGCCGCGGUAAUACGAAGGGGGCUAGCGUUGCUCGGAAUGACUGGGCGUAAAGCGCGUGUAGGCGGGCCGCCACGUCGGCUGCUGAAAUCCCCCGGCUCAACCGGGGAACGGGCACCGAUACGAGCGGCCUCGAGGGGGGUAGGGGUGGUCUGGUACUUCCGGUGCAGCGAUGAAAUG